CAACGCUUCCUGAUUUUCCAUAUUUUUAAUUUCUGAUUUUAUUUUCUUUAAUUCCUUUUUAUUUCAAAAAUUCAUAACUCUCUCAUUUUUAAUCCAAAAAAUAUGGGACCAAUUGCAUUAGUUUCCAAAUAAUUUCUAGUUUCUUAAAAUGAUUUUUAAUAUUUUUUAUUUUGUCAUUUGAUAUUUUUUAAUGAAUUUUCUCUUUUCUGGUUGUUUUUAAUUCAUUUUAAAUAG
RNAcentral lists this long non-coding RNA (234 nucleotides) under Lathyrus oleraceus (garden pea). Its description in RNAcentral is "Pisum sativum (pea) long non-coding RNA (PSAT_LNC014776)". The record is from RNAcentral. Lineage: Eukaryota; Viridiplantae; Streptophyta; Magnoliopsida; Fabales; Fabaceae.